Molecule: non-coding RNA, 1235 nt
Organism: Camellia sinensis
Lineage: Eukaryota; Viridiplantae; Streptophyta; Magnoliopsida; Ericales; Theaceae
Source: RefSeq, a predicted model, not a curated record
UCGUAAUCUCUAUCUGGUUCUCUCCAUCUUGGCUCAAAGCUCUCGAUCAGUCCGAUUUGAAGAUUAAUUUUAGUCACAGAACCACCAUCACAACCAUACUGUGUCAAUCUUUGCAGCAGCAAUGUCUCUCUUCCUCACAAUGGGUUUUGUGCACCACAGACACCUGAUUUCGACUCUGUGCUGUUUUUGGAGCAACAAAGUUGUGGCAGCUGCAAAAAGUCCUGGAUGCAUGCAAGAUGGAGCUUAAUCCUGAAAUCAUUGCAGAUAUUGACAAGCAUUUGUCGCUAGUUCAUGGAGGCUAAUGUUGACUGAGCAUUGUCUGGAGUUUGCUUGAUGGUCUAACCAGCAGCAUAUAUGGAGUCAAAUGUUGAUUGAGGCUCUCUCUGUGAUUCUUGGAAGUUUCUGUUGAAUAGCAUGUAAAAGAGAGAACGCUGUCAUCUAGAACGCGAAGCUACUAUGGCAAAGGGAUCUGAAUCAACCUAAAUGGAUCUCCCCAUGUUAAGAGAUAGUUAAUGCCCAGAUUUUGGCUUCCACGUUCAAGCGGGCCCUUUUGCAUUUGCUCUUACGCUCAAGCGGGCAGUCUAACGCUCGAGCGGGAUUCUUCAGCCUUCAGUAUUUUUCCUGCAGGUCAUCGGACGGUCGAGCGUCCACUUUAACGCUCGAGCGGGGCCCUUCGUCUGCAGAACUUCUGGAAGUGUGCAUUCCACGCUCGAGCGACGCUUUUCACGCUCGAACGGGAGUCUGUGUCUGACGCUCGAGCGGGGCGUCCCACACUGGAGCGGACUGUGAUGUAUUUUAGUUCGAGAAGAAGCUUUUUGAAUCACUUUUUCGGGCCACUCUCUCUCUCUAGCAUUUUAAAACCCUCAUUUGAGAGCUUCUCUCUCUAGAAUACUCUCUCUCUACAUUUUGAGCUAGAUCUAGUGAUCUCCUCACCCUUUUCCUUUUGAUAAAAAGCUUGAGCUUCGUGUGGGCUCCAUUUUGAUCCGAAAAGUUAUGGGUUUGGAGUACUUUCGAGUUUCAUCAUCUCCUUUGGGUCUCUUCACUUGAGGUACAGAUGAGAUGCCGCCUCCAAGAGUGUAGCUUAGGAGGUUUAGAAGCUGAAGGCUUAUUUUGUAGUUAUCCUUGUAUUACAUGUAAAUCAAGCCAAGGGCUUAAUAUGUUUAGAGUUAGAACUCUCUUUUGUUGAAUCCAAGUGUUGACUUGGAAAGUUGUAAGCCCGUAGGGCAUUUACUUUU